Molecule: ribosomal RNA, 421 nt
Filed under: uncultured bacterium
Lineage: Bacteria
Description: bacterial SSU rRNA
Rfam family: Bacterial small subunit ribosomal RNA
Source: RNAcentral
AAGGAAUAUUGGACAAUGGGCGGAAGCCUGAUCCAGCCAUGCCGCGUGAAGGACGAAGGCGCUCAGCGUUGUAAACUUCUUUUGGGCGGGAACAAACCCUGGGACUUGUCCUGGGCUGAGGGUACCGUCAGAAUAAGCACCGGCUAACUCCGUGCCAGCAGCCGCGGUAAUACGGAGGGUGCGAGCGUUAUCCGGAAUCACUGGGUUUAAAGGGUGCGCAGGCGGCGCGCUAAGUCAGCCGUGAAAUUCCUUGGCUUAACCAAAGGGACUGCGGUUGAUACUGGCGUGCUUGAAUGGGGUUGAGGCUGGCGGAAUGCGGCAUGUAGCGGUGAAAUGCUUAGAUAUGCCGCAGAACACCGAUUGCGAAGGCAGCCAGCUGGGCCUUUAUUGACGCUGAGGCACGAAAGCGUGGGGAGCAAAC